CCUGCGCUGACCGGCGGGGCGCUCGCGCGCCCCGACCGCGCGAGCGGUCGAUCGCCCCCGACCGCGCGGGC
RNAcentral lists this transfer RNA (71 nucleotides) under Pleomorphomonas sp. SM30. Its description in RNAcentral is "tRNA-Arg". Lineage: Bacteria; Pseudomonadati; Pseudomonadota; Alphaproteobacteria; Hyphomicrobiales; Pleomorphomonadaceae. RNAcentral also lists the same sequence under 1 other name. The record is from RNAcentral.